UUCUACUCUCAGAGGCUUUUGAGGGUCUACCACUAGCCAGGCCAGGGGACGGACGGACAGACGGGGUCAGCUUUGAGAAGACCUCAGAGACGGAAAUAUUUCUCAGGAAAUGUCAAACUGGAAUAUCUACAUUAUAUCUACACAUGAAAUAAUAAAUCAAGUUCAGGUUUUUCCCAUGUGACCAAAAAAGAAAAAAAAGAAAAGAAACAAUAAAAUGGGUUUAGAAUAUUG
RNAcentral lists this long non-coding RNA (231 nucleotides) under Mus caroli (Ryukyu mouse). RNAcentral describes it as "lncRNA (MGP_CAROLIEiJ_G0006173.1)". Lineage: Eukaryota; Metazoa; Chordata; Mammalia; Rodentia; Muridae. The record is from RNAcentral.